CCUACGGGAGGCAGCAGUAAGGAAUAUUGCACAAUGGAGGAAACUCUGAUGCAGCCAUGCCGCGUGCAGGAAGACUGCCCUAUGGGUUGUAAACUGCUUUUCUACAAGAAGAAACCCCAGUACGUGUACUGGCUUGACGGUAUUGUAGGAAUAAGCACCGGCUAACUCCGUGCCAGCAGCCGCGGUAAUACGGAGGGUGCAAGCGUUAUCCGGAUUUAUUAGGUUUAAAGGGUCCGCAGGCGGAAUAUUAAGUCAGUGGUGAAAGCCUACAGCUCAACUGUAGAACUGCCAUUGAUACUGAUAUUCUUGAGUGUGGUUGAAGUGAGCGGAAUAUGUCAUGUAGCGGUGAAAUGCAUAGAUAUGACAUGGAACACCAAUUGCGAAGGCAGCUCACUAAGCCAUUACUGACGCUCAUGGACGAAAGCGUGGGGAGCGAACAG
Molecule: ribosomal RNA, 440 nt
Filed under: uncultured bacterium
Lineage: Bacteria
Description: bacterial SSU rRNA
Rfam family: Bacterial small subunit ribosomal RNA
Source: RNAcentral